UACGUAGGGUCCAAGCGUUGUCCGGAUUUAUUGGGCGUAAAGAGCUCGUAGGCGGCUCAGUAAGUCGGAUGUGAAAACUCGGGGCUCAACCCCGAGACGCCAUCCGAUACUGCUGUGGCUUGAGUCUGGUAGGGGAACACGGAAUUCCUGGUGUAGCGGUGAAAUGCGCAGAUAUCAGGAGGAACACCGAUGGCGAAGGCGUUCCGCUGGGCCGUUGCUGACGCUGAGGCGCGACAGCGUGGGGAGCAAACAGG
Molecule: ribosomal RNA, 254 nt
Filed under: uncultured bacterium
Lineage: Bacteria
Description: partial 16S ribosomal RNA
Rfam family: Bacterial small subunit ribosomal RNA
Source: RNAcentral